Molecule: long non-coding RNA, 10169 nt
Organism: Panthera uncia (snow leopard)
Lineage: Eukaryota; Metazoa; Chordata; Mammalia; Carnivora; Felidae
Exons: 3
Source: RefSeq, a predicted model, not a curated record
UCCAUGUUGCUACAAAGGGCCAUAUUUCAUUCUUUCUCAUUGCCACGUAGUAUUCCAUUGUGUAUAUAAACCACAAUUUCUUUAUCCAUUCAUCAGUUGAUGGACAUUUAGGCUCUUUCCAUAAUUUGGCUAUUGUUGAGAGUGCUGCUAUAAACAUUGGGGUACAAGUGCCCCUAUGCAUCAGUACUCCUGUAUCCCUUGGAUAAAUUCCUAGCAGUGCUAUUGCUGGGUCAUAGGGUAGGUCUAUUUUUAAUUUUCUGAGGAACCUCCACACUGCUUUCCAGAGCGGCUGCACCAAUUUGCAUUCCCACCAACAGUGCAAGAGGGUUCCCGUUUCUCCACAUCCUCACCAGCAUCUAUAGUCUCCUGAUUUGCUCAUUUUGGCCACUCUGACUGGCGUGAGGUGAUAUCUGAGUGUGGUUUUGAUGUAUUUCUCUUUUCAUUACAUUUUGAGAAGCAAAAUUUUAAACAAUUUUUCAUUCAGUCUAAGCAAUACCAAAUAUCUUGAUGAUAGAUUAACAAAAAAGUUUUAGAUAUCUUUUCCUGGAGUCCUUCUCCUUUAUUUAGAUGACAAGCCGUAGAAUUUUAAGGUUGAAGGGUACCUUAAUGUUUGACACAUACCUGUGUAGCUUUGGUAACUUGGUGGGUUUUUCUGCUCUGAAUGGACAUGCACAUGAUGGGCACUAAAUUAAUGGAGAAAUGUGAAAUGAAUGACUAAUAAGACCUUUUUCUGACCUCACAGAGAACUAAAAUGUUGAGUUGUCAGGUUAUUUGUGGCUACAAAAAUAAUACUGGCAAAUAGUCUGGGGCUAUCAAAUUCAGUUCCGUCUGUAAUUGAAUUAGAGACCCACAUCCUUUUCUCCAGGGAGAUGGGUGUACCAAACCCUGCCUUUGACAGUGUUUAGUAUUACACAAGAUUUCAGCCAAUGAACAAAGUUUCUAUUUAUGGAAAAUGUCAAGGGUGAUAAGCAUGAAAGAGUAGUAAUAUCAUUAUUUUCUAUCUAACUUACUUAAUAAUUGGAUAUGAACAGUGAGAAAAUUUCUGCCAAACAAAUACAAAUGUUCUGUCUUAAGAAAUUGAGUUAAAGUUUCAAAGGUUUGUGGAAUCCUAAAAAUCCAAAACCAAUGCAAAACGAACACUUCAGAUGGGGGCAAUGGUAGGUAGAAAGUCCCAUGGAAAUGUGCACAGGUUUUAUGUCAAAAAGAAAAGCAUUCUUGAACAGCUAGUCCUCCCCUGCAUGGGGCUGGUGUAUUUUUGAGAAUUUGCAUGUCGUCACUUCCAAAAGGAAUAUUUUGUGGUCUCUUCCAGUCGCUUCCAUCCCUGCAUGCUCACGUGCACGUGCGCACACUUGUUCCAGGAUUGUAGUUCCUGGACUCUGAAUUCCUCAGCGUCACAGAGUUUGCAUGUCCCAUCUACAGCCCUGAGUCUGGCAUAGCCCAGUUGCUCACCAAAUGUGCAUGAUGGAAUGAAAAAACAAACCUGCCAAAGCAUACCAGAACAAAGGGUUCAGGUAGGUGAUUCUGUCAUUACCAUCUCCACUGUCAGAUGAGAAGACAGGCUGGUGAAAGUUGAGACUUGUUCAAGAUUGGACUGUUGGUGACAGAGCCAAGACCUGAACUCAGAUCUCUUGUUCCUAGAAUUAGGUUCUCUUAACAGAAGAAGAAAAUGAACUUAUGCAUCUUUAAACCUCUAUAUCCAUAUCAUAAAUGUGAAUUUAUUAGUAUUGGCAAGGUUAUCUUUCAUUCUAUAUUUAUUAAUACCUUGUCUCAUUUCCCAAAUAAUUCAAAACAUCCGAUGGAUGUACAAUGAGAGAGAAAAAGAGAAAGAAAGAGAGAGCGGGAAAGACUAAAGAUCACAUACUGGGAAAAUAUACUCUAGAAGUAUAAUAAGUAACACUUAGUACUGUAUGCCAUAUAUUGUUCUAAGUGCUUUACAUAAAUUAACUCAUUUAAUACAAACAAUGACUCUGUGAGGUGGGUACUUACUAUUAUCCCAACUUUACAAUCAUAGGAAAUGAAGCACAGAGAAUUCCAGUAACUUUCUCAGGUCACAGAGCUAAUAUGCAGUGAAGCCUGCAUGUAAACCUAAGUAGUUGUGGGCCUGAAUCUUAAUGCAUGUUACUAUCCUGCCUGCUAAAUAUAUCCUUGGGAUCUGUACUGCUCUAACUACUGUCUCCAGAUCCAGGCCCUGAGAAGCUAUGCCCCUGAAUCUACCCUCACACUUGGUUCCUUUUUGCAGACUGAUUAUGCUUCCACUUUGGUUGUUGUGUUCUUGAAGUCAUUCUUUGGUUUAUUUGGCAUAAUGAAAUCUAUAACGUCUCGUUUUUAAAUAACUAUCUAACUUCACUGAAACCCUUGUCAGCUUUAAUAGGAUUCAGGGCAGAAGAUUUUGAGCAAAAACAGUGCAAGCUACAGACAUGUGUGCAUUUUGCUAAAAGGACAGCCUCCUCUAUUUUGGAAGAUUUUUCUGUCUGAUGGAGUUGUCUGCUCAUAAGGAUCCUUGAGGAGGGAAUGUCGGAGGUAUGUGUAUGCUCCACACACCGUUUACCAUCCCUCCUCUUCCUAAUGCAACCUGGAAAGUGGGCUGCCAAGUCCUCAGGAGGGGCCAGCUCUUCCGUUGUCCCAGGAGGUGAAUCUUGAUUCCAUUCCCCACCCUGGUGAGUGGUUUAGAAACAGGUGAAUCAUUCCAUUCUUGCUAAUGCCACACUGUAACCAGGGCACAGGGGUGCAAGAGCGCCUGGCUCUGAGGGUCCCAAACAGAUCAGGUUCGGCCACUUGCUGCUGACAGACGCCAAAGGUAUGAUGUGGAGUGGUGGUGAAACAAGAGGGAAUUUAUUUCAGUGAGGCCAACACUGAGAAGACAGAGGACUAGCAUAUCAAAGACAGUCUCCAAUGUGCUGAAAAUGCUUCCAGGUUUAUAUACGGAAAACACGGGACAAAGGUCAGUGGGUACAUGCAGGUGGAUGGUAAAGGUUAGGCUGAUCAUUGUCUUGGGGUCAAUCAUGUGGGGUCUUGCCAAUGUCAGAGCAGUCCUUAGUACCUGAGGGUUCCUGUCACAGCAUGAUUUGCCUGCAGGGUCUUUUGCCUGAGUUAAGAGAUAAGCUGGAAAGAGGAACUUAAUCAGUCAGAAAGUACAGGCUGAGGUCAAAAUGGAGGUAGUUGAAGUCCUCUUUUAACACGAGACAAGGUCUACUAGGGGACUUCUGGGAGAAUGUUCCUGGAACUUAAAAAGGGAUGCAUGAAGGAAAUGAUUUCAUCUUUCAACCUUUGGACAUUAAUGUGUAAGAGUGUAGGGAUUAGAACCACAGCAACCCUUUGACCAUGAGUGGAUUAAUCUGAAGAGAUAAACCUUCAUGCUGAGAAUGGGGGAGCAGGAAUUUGGAAAAGAACAUGGAUCCCUGAUGAUGUCAUUGAGCUGCUGAAUUAACCAACCUAUAACACCUUCACUCUGUUACUCUGUGUUUUUUAAAUUAUUUUUAAAAUUUUUUAAAUGUUCAUUUAUUUUGAGAGAGAGAGAGUGAGUGGGGGAGAGGGAGAGAGAAUCCCAAGCAGGUUCCACCCUCGGUGCAGAGCCCAACACGGGGUUUGACCUCAUAAUCAUAAGAUCACAACCUAAGCUGAUAUCAAGAGUCAAUGCUUAGCAAACUGAAUCACCCAGGCACCCCUCUAUUACUCUGUUUUAAUAUGUGAGAUCUUACAUCUCUUAACUGUUUAAGCCAGUUUCAGUUGAGGCUUCUGUUACUUGCAGCAAAAAACAUCCAAAAUAACACAGAGGAACAUACAUGUAAGACAUGAGGUACAUGUCUUACGUGGCUCGGCAGAAAUACUAGUUUCUUAUUGCUGGUAUAACACAUUUCCACAAACUUUGGCUUUCAACAACACAAAUUUAUUCUCUUACAGCUCUAGAGGUCAGAAGUCCAAAUUCAAGCUAUUGGCAGGGCCGAGUUCCUUCUGGAGGUUUAGGAGAGAAGUAGUUGCCUUGCCUUCUUUGGCUUCUAGGACGUCCUACAUUCCUUGGCCUUGGCCCCGUCUUCCCAUCACUGGAGUCUCUUGCUUCCAAGAGCACAUCUCCCGCUACUGACUUGGCUGUCCUUCUGCCUUCUUAUAGGGACACUAGACCUCACUGGAUAGUCCAGGAUAAUCUCCCCAUCCCCUCAUAAGAUAGAAAUCUAAGACCCCUAUCUUAAUCACAUCUACAAAGUUCAUUGUGCCUUGUAAGGUAGCAUAGUCACAGGUUCUGGGGAUUACGACAUUAACGUCAUUGGGGAGAGGGUCAUUAUUCAGCCUACCACAUCAGGUAAACUGAGCCAACCCCGGGAGAGUGGCCAUCACAGCCAGAUCACCGUAUGUACCUGGGGAGGGAACAGCAUGAUGAAGACGUUGUUAAACUGCCAUUAUUGUCUCCUUUAUUUUCCGAGUCUCAGCCAAAAUCUUUCUCUUUGCAAGUGAUUGUAUCUUAGCCCUAAUUUAGCCCAGAAUGAUCAAUCCUUCUUGCUUCAUCUCCGUAAUAAUGACAUUUGACAUUUAAAGUGAGCCGUUAUUCUAUGUACUAUUUUAAGAACUUUAUCUGCACUAAAGAAAUUAAUCCUCAUAAACCUCUGUAAUUGUUGCUACUUAUAUACCCAUUUUAUAGAUGAGCAAAUUUGACUUCAUUUGUGUCAAUUCACGCAGCUUACUAUGAGUGCUUAUUUUUUCGGCUUAUGUAGGAGCCUGUGAUGUGGUUUCUCUUCCAGAAAUAGAAAAUAAAUUCAAGUUCUUACCACUGAGGACCAGUUAGGAUGAUUUUAGUUGCAAUUUUCACCAUAUCCAUGGGGGUUAAACAAUUAAGAGUUUAUUCUCUCCAAAAAGAAGCCCAGAGUUAGGAUUGCAGGGUGGGUUAAUUCAGCUGCUCAGUCAUGUCAAGUUUCCUUUUAUUAGGGAGGAAAGCCUCUUUCCAAAGCCCCUAAGCAGUGUUUCUCUUUUGGGUUGAUCCCUGCGCUAGUCACUGGCCAAGAGGAAUGGCCCAUCAUGACUCAUGCUUGGGCCUCAGCCUAACUGCUGUGAGCACAUUGCUGCCUGAUCCCUGAAUGAGACCAGGGGUCUAUUAGCAAAGAGAGAAGAGAAGGAACCAAGGGGCACACACACCAUAGAAAGUAGCAUGGAAGCUAAAACCUACGAAACAACCCUAUAACUGAUCUCAAGGUAUCUCCCGCCACUUGGAACAAAUAGGACCUGGGCCCAUUCAUUGCUUUGAUCCAAAGCAGACUUUAGAGUUACUCUUCGGCUGGGACUAGUGUGGUAGUGCAUAUAAGUCAGGGGGCAUGCUGUCACCCAAGUGAACAGAGUGUCAUUGGAAGCAGUGUUUGACUCCCUCCUUGUCAAUGCAACUCAAAGGGUCCAUGUAGUAAACAGUUGUAGUAACUUGGAAGACAGUAUUAUUUUCCUAAGGAAGGAAAAUUUCUCAUCAUGGACCAAAUAUGCACUAUUUCAGAUAGGGACCUUUCAUAUUCACUGAAUAAUUUUUUUGAAGUUACUUUCUACAAUUUUCCCCCAAAUAACCUAUUUCACCAACAGUAAAGCACAUGAUACCUCAUUUAUCUUCCUGUAGCAGAGCAGAGCUGAGUCAAACCUUCACUGCCAAGCAGGCUCCGGGGGCCGAGCCAGAGUCUGUGCUCAGCAAGCUCAGGCCUCCCGUCCCCACAGUACCAGCUCCUGUCAGGAUCCGACUCUGGACCUUUAGCUCAUAUGUCAUAGUUAGUGAACAACCCAUUCCUGUAUCAAUGUCCCUGUUGCUAUUGAACCACAUUCAUGUUCAUUUCUUCAGAAAAGGAGGAUUGUUUAGCCUGGAGUUUCCAUCAUAUGGACGUGCGUAUUGAAGCCAUGUGUCCAGUCUUACUGUCUGAACAUCCCAACAAAGCUAAGAGCAGCCACUUCACCAUUAAUCAGCAAUCAGAUGAAGAGCUGACUUCGGAAGAGAACUUCUCUUGCUGCUGUGGCCUGCCCCACACUCUGGCACACUGAAGGACAGGUGGGCAGGAAUCGGUUGGCCUGUUCAAAACAGUAAAUGAUGCAAGUGGCAGGACGCAUCUUGCUUUGCCUUUGACUUGCAUCACGGUGUCUCUUUUCUCCACUGCCAUUUUUGUUUUUCCUGUGUGGAUCAAAGUCUCAGGAGUAAUUACCCCUCAGUAAGCUCAGUAGUGCCCUUUGUACAGGUGGGGUCCUCGUCAUUUGAGCCAGAGGAUGGUUAACGUGUACAUAUAACAUUACACAGAGUCCAAUACUUUUCUGAUAACUCCUAUAAAUUGUCUUUAAAUUUUUUUUUAAUGUUUAUUUAUUUUUGAGAGAGAGAGGGACAGAGUGCGAGCAGGGGAGGGGCAGAGAGAGAGAGAGGGAGACACAGAAUCUGAGAUGUCAGCACAGAGUCUGAGGUGGGGCUCAAACUCACAAACUGCAAAAUGAUGACGUGAGCCAAAGUCGGAUGCUUAACUGACUGAGCCACCCAGGCACCCCUCCUAGUCAAUUGUCUUGUGGGUCAGCAAAGCCAAGGAUGAGGUUAAAUGGGAAGGGCUGGUUUGGGGCUUUUUUGCCUGUUCAGUUGCAUGGAUGCCCCCAUAGGUCACCUCUCUAGCCUGUGGAGCAGUGACAAUGCAAUGUGUUGCACACCUUGGAGUUGCCUUCAUUCUUUCCACCAGGACUUGGCCAAAACACUCAGGCACUAGAGCAUCUGGGAACAGCCUUCUCUGUCCCGGUCAUCUAUGUAGAAAGCUAAGGCAGAUACUGGAAACGGUCUAUUUUCUCUCCAUUUAUGACACCCCUCUUGCUUCUGUAAGUAUUGCUUUGCAAUUGUCCUCACUGCCUUGCAAAUCACUCAGAGCCCUGCCGGCAGAUCUGAGAUAAUAUCUCUAAUUGAAAGUGAGAGGUUGUCUGAUUUGCCUAGUUUAGGAUGAGUCACUUGUAUGUUUGAGAAGUGAAGUCCCAGAUUCUGUUAUUGAUACUGGAAACUGUACAGAAGGAAUGAGUCUGGAGUUUAGAACACACAUCAUGAAUCUCACACCAGUGAUGCUCUGGCUGUUCAGAGGGAUGGAACAAGAAACAAAUCUCUAAGGUGGAGGUUUUUGUGAAAAAUCUCAGAUUUUGUUAGAGAGGUCUUUUGAGUACAUAACAUAUUGAACUUUAAUAUUAUGGACUUGAAAGAAAAUAUUUCCUUUGGAGUAGGAAGCCUCUGUUAUGUUUUGGAAGAAUUUUCCAGUAAAUCAUCUAACAGCUGCUUUACUGUACAGGCCUUGAAAUUUUAUCCUUUCAUUGGUUACAUACGCUUUUGCCUUUGGAAACUUCACAUGCUUCUCUUUACCAGUAAUAUUUUGUUCCCAAAAUAUCAGCUCCCAGGGAGGAUUUCAUAAAGCCUGACCCAACAAGAAAUGUUUUUGAGCAAACCUUCUGGAUAUCUUUGGCUAGGUACCAUGCUCUAUGUAAGUACACUCUAUGUAAGAUUAUUAAAAUCCAAAAAGCCAGCCUACACAGAUAAUGGGUUUGUGGCAAAAGAACAUUCUAACCAUCUCUUAACAUAAAGGCAUCUUGUAUCUGUGAGUGUGGCAACAGUGAUUGCACUGGGUACUAGUAGGGAUGUAACGUGAGGGAGCCUGUGUGUGUGUUUGCAGUGGGAAGGUGUGAUGGCACAAAGCCCUGGCAGAAAUAUGACCAGUGGCAAUUGUCCCCUUCAGGUGGCAGGUGGAAGAUGGCCUUGACUGAGAGGGAGACACUCAACAAAUACCUCCAAAAGGGAAUAGAAAGGGAAUAGCUUGCUUGGUGCCACAUUAUUGAAGUAAGCUUGCAAUUCUUGAAGUUUGUUGCACAUGAGGGUCACGUGGAAGGUAAAUGCUCCAGAAUAGAGUCAUGAUGUGUUGAUUUCUAGAAAGGGUCUGCUGGCUAGUGAUGAUUGAAAAACAGAAAAAAAAAAAAAAUGAGGCUGGAAACUCACCAAGCAUGACUUCAGUUUGUGGAGCAGAGUUAUUGAAGUCCUUUAAUGGAGGAAGAUUCCCCACAGACAGUGUUAAGAACAAAGUGGGGCUGGAGAGGGGAGAGCAACAAGCUUUGCUCUAACAGGCCCAUCUGACACUGGUGACGGUUCUUAUGGGGUGGAAAUAGAGGCAGGCACGUGGCUUCAAGUGUGGUUGGUCAGUGGAAGAGUUUUCAAGGAGAUUUUUCAGUGGCAAUUUGAAGAGAAUAAAAACAGGAGAGGAGCCAAUUAAAACUUUGGCAGUACAUGAAAAAUUUGCAAAUCGUUGGUGAACCUGGGUUCAAUUUUGGCUCAUCUAUUGACUUUGAUCCAGAAUAACCCCUCAUUUUUGAAAUUCUAUGCAUUGGCAUAUUAAGAGGUUAAUAAAUAAAAUAGCUCUUUCUUACUUACAUUCCCAGUGAGCCAGUCAGAUCAAUGGAGAUAAAAAAUAUCAGUGUGGGGGGCCCUGGGUGGCUCAGUUGGAUGAACAUCUGACUUUGGCUCAGGUCAUGAUCUCAUGGUUCAUGAGUUCAAGCCCCACAUCAGCCUCACUGCUGUCAGCACAGAGCCUGCUUCAGAUCCUCUGUACCCCCUUCUCUCUGCCCCUUCCCCACUUGCACCGUCUCUCUCAAAAAUAAAUAAAUCUUUAAAAAACGUAUAUCAGCAUGAUUACUGACAGCAAUUUCAUUGGAGGGUAUGAGUAAGUGGUUAAAUAGGCUUGCUAAGAUUCUGCACCCUUCUUCUUGGCCUUGAUUCAGCCCAGCUGAGGGAAACUUGCAUUUGCAAAGUGUACUCUUACCCAUGAUCCUUGUGUCACAUUAGUUCAGGCAUGGAGGGAAGAAAAGAACAAACUCCUAGUAGUUACUCAUUUAAACAUUGUUUACUAGAGAAGCUCUCCUCAAGUGAAACCGAUGGAUUUAAUCCACUGGUGAAACAAUAGGAUAAGAGUUACCCAUCUAAGUGGUGCUCUUCUGUUUUAAAAAAUCUGUACUUUUUAACACGAUGGCACAAGUAGAAAAUUAUAUGAUUCAUACAUGACGGUAGGAAAAAGUGUACGAGUCUGUUUGAAGUUGGAGAAGCAACGAGCUUAAGGGCUCUGGGCUUCACAAGACUUUACAACCUUGGUUCACCUGUGACCCAUUUGUGGCACACAGUUGUGCACAGGUGUGGGAUCCAGGCAGACAGGCCUAAAGGAUCUGCCACCUAUUUUGUUACUAUAUUUUCUGAGGAAAUCAUAAGAUUUUUCUCCCUUUAAUUUGUUAAUCUGUAUGGUCUCUUUCCAAUAACGAUUUCCUCUCUGAUACCAACUAGGUGUCCUACAACUCAAUUUAAUCCUGCCACUAACUACCCUGAAUUAGCACAGACCCCAUAGGUUAAGGGCUCAGUGCCACAAGACUGUCCUCUCACUUCAGGUCCUGGUCGCAAGUUGCUGGGGUCCCCAUAAGGCUGGCCAACUGGCUAUAAAUAUAAGACUUCCCAUGACCACCCCCCUCCCAGGUUUGAUCAUUUGAUGGAAUGAUUCAUAGAACUCAGGAAAGCUCUAUAAUUAUGAUCACCGUUUUAUGACAAAGGACACUACUCGGGAAUAGCCAAAUGGAAGAAAUGCAUGCAACAAGGUAAUAGGAGGCAGAGCAGGGCAGGCACAGAACUUACAUGUGCUCUCCUGGCACACCACCAUCCCAGCACACUGAUACUGUCACCCACCUGGUUGCUGCCCAGACCUCGCUGUUUAAGAAUGUUUGAUCCAGGUUUCAGUAGGUAGGCAUGAUUGAUUCACUCAUUGAACAUUGUGAUUGAACCAUCUCCAAUCCCCCUGCAUUCCCCUCCUCAAAUGUCAAGGGCUGGGACUGAAACUUCCAAACCUCUAAUCCUACACUUGGUCUUUCUGGUGAUCAGCUUUUAUCCUGAAGGUUUGGUAGAAAGGGGUUCAUUAUGAAUAACAACAUACACUCCUUUCCCUCAGGAAACGCCAAGGAUUUUAAGAGCUUUGUGCCAAGAACAUGAGACAAAGACCAAAUAUAUUUUUUAUUAUACCACAACGAGGUAAAUAUAUAUUAAUAGAUUUUUCUGAUGUUAAACAAUUCUUACAUUCUUGUAUUUUGUAUACUCAAUUCACUUUGGCCUGCUAGUAUUUUAUUUAGGGUUUUCCCAUUGUGAGAACGGCCUAUAAUUUUCCUUGUUCAUAUUGUCAUUG